ACAUUUCUGAAAAAGAAAGUGAAUCGAGACAAUUUGCAGAAGUGAAGGUCAUCCAGCUGGCUUUAGAUGUUGCUGAAAGAGAGAGUGACUAGUACUGUACCUAUGCACUGGCUCUUGGAUGGUGACAUAUGCUCCUUGAGGGUGGUUACUACAAUGUAAGCAGAACAACCGGUAACUCAGAGGCAAGCUCAUCUGGGUUGUUGCAUUGUGGAAAGAUAUUACUGCACAGAUAAGGAACAUGGAUGUAAAAGUACAUCACAUAUAUGUCCACAAACCCGACAGUCAUUUCACGGAGAAACAUCGAAACAACAAGCAGAUGGCCAUUAGGAUCGAAGUGGCUCAGGUUCAGAUUGUUAUUAUUUUGUGGAUGGACAGCUGACCCAGGGAGGUCAGAUCUAUCUCCCCCUGGGUCAGUGUGAGCAAAACAGCUGCUAUGGAUCACUGUCUCACACAGAACAACGAUGGGAGUAGGCAAGAGGAAUGCGGAGCAGCGAUAGAGACCACUGUGACAGGUGCCGUGAGACAAGCUGCAAGUAACUGCAAGUUAUGAGAACUGUG
RNAcentral lists this long non-coding RNA (558 nucleotides) under Gallus gallus (chicken). RNAcentral's name for it is "lncRNA (ENSGALG00010008724.1)". The record is from RNAcentral. Lineage: Eukaryota; Metazoa; Chordata; Aves; Galliformes; Phasianidae.